This 724-nucleotide unclassified non-coding RNA is filed under the name Hevea brasiliensis (rubber tree). Lineage: Eukaryota; Viridiplantae; Streptophyta; Magnoliopsida; Malpighiales; Euphorbiaceae. The record is from RNAcentral.
CUGCUAAUGGUACUUCUGUUCCUCAUUCUAAAAGGACCUCUCCCAAGCCGAGAUUCUCUUCGGUUUCCUCGUCGGAAAUGAAGCACGUGAUCAUCCCUUCAAUAAAGCAACCAUUACCAUCACCAGUGCCUCCGCCUCCUCCUCCACCACCUCCAGCACUAUCAAAGCAAGAUAAAGCUGACAAUAUUGAACCGAGUUCGUAUUUUCCGAAAAGGCCAAAAUUCUCCGCGCCUCCACCACCACCAAAUUUGGUCCUCCUACGAUCAAUAAACAAACAACAAUCAAGUAAAAUUUCACCUCCGCCUCCGCCUCCACCUCCUCCACCACCACCGCCGCCGCCUCCUCCACAGCCGCUGGCAAUGUCAACUCCAACGAAAAUAGGAUCCUCGGAAACAGCUAAAACAAGUGUUUCUUCGACGCCUGCCACCGUGUCAUCGAAGCAACCGUCCUGUACACCAAGCCCCAGAUCCAGUUCCAAGACUGAAACGCCAAUAAUUAUUGAGCAUGUAGAUAGAGGGAUUAGUUCCUCAGAGAAAACUGAUGCAGAAGAGCAGGAUGGAGCAAAGCCCAAGUUAAAGCCCCUGCACUGGGACAAGGUGAGGGCAACCUCAGACCGAGCCACAGUGUGGGACCAGCUCAAAUCCAGCUCGUUUCAAUUAAAUGAGGACAUGAUGGAGAGUCUUUUCGGCUGCAAUUCAAAGAAUUCGAUUCCAAAAGAACCCAC